This 207-nucleotide long non-coding RNA is filed under the name Olea europaea (common olive). RNAcentral describes it as "long non-coding RNA (OEUR_LNC007135)". Lineage: Eukaryota; Viridiplantae; Streptophyta; Magnoliopsida; Lamiales; Oleaceae. The record is from RNAcentral.
AUUCAAACGGUUGCCUCAAUUUCUAUAAAUUUUGGGCGAAUUCUCGUUUGCAAAACACAUUAAAAAAAUUUAUUCUUCUUUCUUUCUCUUGGCAUCAAUCAGUUAUUUUCGAGUGUCUUCUUGGUUUGAUCAAAUAGUCACAAUUUGAAUCAAACGUCUCCAUUGUAUCCUGAGAGAAAUUUUCUAUCAUAUCCCAAUUGUGACUUU